GCCCCCGUAGCCCAAUUGGCAGAGGCAGACGACUUAAACUCGUCAGAGUGUCGGUUCGAUCCCGACCGGGGGCACCA
RNAcentral lists this transfer RNA (77 nucleotides) under Saccharopolyspora gloriosae. RNAcentral describes it as "tRNA-Leu". It matches the Rfam family "tRNA". Rfam says of the family: Transfer RNA (tRNA) molecules are approximately 80 nucleotides in length. RNAcentral also lists the same sequence under 2 other names. The record is from RNAcentral. Lineage: Bacteria; Bacillati; Actinomycetota; Actinomycetes; Pseudonocardiales; Pseudonocardiaceae.